UGUUUCGGCAAGGGGGUCAUCCCGACUUACCAACCCGAUGCAAACUGCGAAUACCGGAGAAUGUUAUCACGGGAGACACACGGCGGGUGCUAACGUCCGUCGUGAAGAGGGAAACAACCCAGACCGCCAGCUAAGGUCCCAAAGUCAUGGUUAAGUGGGAAACGAUGUGGGAAGGCCCAGACAGCCAGGAUGUUGGCUUAGAAGCAGCCAUCAUUUAAAGAAAGCGUAAUAGCUCACUGGUCGAGUCGGCCUGCGCGGAAGAUGUAACGGGGCUAAACCAUGCACCGAAGCUGCGGCAGCGACGCUGAUGCGUUGUUGGGUAGGGGAGCGUUCUGUAAGCCUGUGAAGGUGUGCUGUGAGGCAUGCUGGAGGUAUCAGAAGUGCGAAUGCUGACAUAAGUAACGAUAAAGCGGGUGAAAAGCCCGCUCGCCGGAAGACCAAGGGUUCCUGUCCAACGUUAAUCGGGGCAGGGUGAGUCGACCCCUAAGGCGAGGCCGAAAGGCGUAGUCGAUGGGAAACAGGUUAAUAUUCCUGUACUUGGUGUUACUGCGAAGGGGGGACGGAGAAGGCUAUGUUGGCCGGGCGACGGUUGUCCCGGUUUAAGCGUGUAGGCUGGUUUUCCAGGCAAAUCCGGAAAAUCAAGGCUGAGGCGUGAUGACGAGGCACUACGGUGCUGAAGCAACAAAUGCCCUGCUUCCAGGAAAAGCCUCUAAGCAUCAGGUAACAUCAAAUCGUACCCCAAACCGACACAGGUGGUCAGGUAGAGAAUACCAAGGCGCUUGAGAGAACUCGGGUGAAGGAACUAGGCAAAAUGGUGCCGUAACUUCGGGAGAAGGCACGCUGAUAUGUAGGUGAAGCGACUUGCUCGUGGAGCUGAAAUCAGUCGAAGAUACCAGCUGGCUGCAACUGUUUAUUAAAAACACAGCACUGUGCAAACACGAAAGUGGACGUAUACGGUGUGACGCCUGCCCGGUGCCGGAAGGUUAAUUGAUGGGGUCAGCGCAAGCGAAGCUCUUGAUCGAAGCCCCGGUAAACGGCGGCCGUAACUAUAACGGUCCUAAGGUAGCGAAAUUCCUUGUCGGGUAAGUUCCGACCUGCACGAAUGGCGUAAUGAUGGCCAGGCUGUCUCCACCCGAGACUCAGUGAAAUUGAACUCGCUGUGAAGAUGCAGUGUACCCGCGGCAAGACGGAAAGACCCCGUGAACCUUUACUAUAGCUUGACACUGAACAUUGAGCCUUGAUGUGUAGGAUAGGUGGGAGGCUUAGAAGUGUGGACGCCAGUCUGCAUGGAGCCGACCUUGAAAUACCACCCUUUAAUGUUUGAUGUUCUAACGUUGACCCGUAAUCCGGGUUGCGGACAGUGUCUGGUGGGUAGUUUGACUGGGGCGGUCUCCUCCUAAAGAGUAACGGAGGAGCACGAAGGUUGGCUAAUCCUGGUCGGACAUCAGGAGGUUAGUGCAAUGGCAUAAGCCAGCUUGACUGCGAGCGUGACGGCGCGAGCAGGUGCGAAAGCAGGUCAUAGUGAUCCGGUGGUUCUGAAUGGAAGGGCCAUCGCUCAACGGAUAAAAGGUACUCCGGGGAUAACAGGCUGAUACCGCCCAAGAGUUCAUAUCGACGGCGGUGUUUGGCACCUCGAUGUCGGCUCAUCACAUCCUGGGGCUGAAGUAGGUCCCAAGGGUAUGGCUGUUCGCCAUUUAAAGUGGUACGCGAGCUGGGUUUAGAACGUCGUGAGACAGUUCGGUCCCUAUCUGCCGUGGGCGCUGGAGAACUGAGGGGGGCUGCUCCUAGUACGAGAGGACCGGAGUGGACGCAUCACUGGUGUUCGGGUUGUCAUGCCAAUGGCACUGCCCGGUAGCUAAAUGCGGAAGAGAUAAGUGCUGAAAGCAUCUAAGCACGAAACUUGCCCCGAGAUGAGUUCUCCCUGACCCUUUAAGGGUCCUGAAGGAACGUUGAAGACGACGACGUUGAUAGGCCGGGUGUGUAAGCGCAGCGAUGCGUUGAGCUAACCGGUACUAAUGAACCGUGAGG
This 2028-nucleotide ribosomal RNA is filed under the name Escherichia coli. RNAcentral describes it as "partial 23S ribosomal RNA". It matches the Rfam family "Bacterial large subunit ribosomal RNA", at positions 911 to 2915 of the family's 2925-position model. Lineage: Bacteria; Pseudomonadati; Pseudomonadota; Gammaproteobacteria; Enterobacterales; Enterobacteriaceae. The record is from RNAcentral.